Molecule: ribosomal RNA, 797 nt
Filed under: uncultured Glomeromycotina
Lineage: Eukaryota; Fungi; Glomeromycota
Description: SSU rRNA
Rfam family: Eukaryotic small subunit ribosomal RNA
Source: RNAcentral
AUCAACUUUCGAUGGUAGGAUAGAGGCCUACCAUGGUGUUAACGGGUAACGGGGUGUUAGGGCACGACACCGGAGAGGGAGCCUGAGAAACGGCUACCACAUCCAAGGAUGGCAGCAGGCGCGCAAAUUACCCAAUCCCGACACGGGGAGGUAGUGACAAUAAAUAACAAUACGGGGUCCUUUCGGGUUUCGUAAUUGGAAUGAGUACAAUUUAAAUCUCUUAACGAGGAACAAUUGGAGGGCAAGUCUGGUGCCAGCAGCCGCGGUAAUUCCAGCUCCAAUAGCGUAUAUUAAAGUUGUUGCAGUUAAAAAGCUCGUAGUUGAAUUUCGGGACUAGUACGCUGGUCGUGCCUUCGGUAUGUACUGGUGUUACUGGUUCCUACCUUCUGACGAACCGUCAUGUCAUUAAUUUGGUGUGGCGGGGAAUCAGGACUGUUACUUUGAAAAAAUUAGAGUGUUUAAAGCAGGCUCGCGCUUGAAUACAUUAGCAUGGAAUAAUGAAAUAGGACGUUCGAUCCUAUUUUGUUGGUUUCUAGGAUUGACGUGAUGAUUAAUAGGGAUAGUUGGGGGCAUUAGUAUUCAAUUGUCAGAGGUGAAAUUCUUGGAUUUAUUGAAGACUAACUACUGCGAAAGCAUUUGCCAAGGAUGUUUUCAUUAAUCAAGAACGAAAGUUAGGGGAUCGAAGACGAUCAGAUACCGUCGUAGUCUUAACCAUAAACUAUGCCGACUAGGGAUCGGAUGAUGUUAUUUUUAAUGACUCAUUCGGCGCCUUACGGGAAACCAAAGUGUUUGGGUUC